CCUACGGGAGGCAGCAGUGAGGAAUAUUGGUCAAUGGACGAGAGUCUGAACCAGCCAAGUAGCGUGAAGGAUGACUGCCCUAUGGGUUGUAAACUUCUUUUAUAUGGGAAUAAAAUGUUCCACGUGUGGGAUUUUGUAUGUACCAUAUGAAUAAGGAUCGGCUAACUCCGUGCCAGCAGCCGCGGUAAUACGGAGGAUCCGAGCGUUAUCCGGAUUUAUUGGGUUUAAAGGGAGCGUAGGUGGAUUGUUAAGUCAGUUGUGAAAGUUUGCGGCUCAACCGUAAAAGUGCAGUUGAAACUGGCAGUCGUGAGUACAGUAGAGGUGGGCGGAAUUCGUGGUGUAGCGGUGAAAUGCUUAGAUAUCACGAAGAACUCCGAUUGCGAAGGCAGCUCACUGGACUGCAACUGACACUGAGGCUCGAAAGUGUGGGUAUCAAACAGGAUUAGAUACCCUAGUAGUC
RNAcentral lists this ribosomal RNA (460 nucleotides) under uncultured bacterium. Its description in RNAcentral is "partial 16S ribosomal RNA". It matches the Rfam family "Bacterial small subunit ribosomal RNA", at positions 338 to 795 of the family's 1533-position model. The record is from RNAcentral.